UCGGAUCUUUCAUAUUUGAAGUGUUACUGUGCACUUCAUCUUCAUAUUAUUUUACUCUAUUUUAUCUAUCUACCGGUCACUUUUCGUUUCCCUCUCUCCCCGUUUCCUCCCCGCGUUUUCUCUCCCCAUUUCUCUCAUUUUCAUUUCUCCCAAUCCCUUCGGCUCUACACUUCGAAUCUUCGCAGCCAUUCGAUUCUUCAACGGCAAGAACACUCGGCUCUGCACGAUCUUCUUCUCCAAAGGAAGCCGAAUCAUUCGGGGGUUUCUUCUACCAGUUUCAAGCAGAUCAGAUUCGUGCGGAAGGCAUCCGAUUUCAGGUUCGGCCGAUUGCUUUUCUUUUUGAACCCUAAUCUUGGAUCUGUUUUUUAUUUCCAUUCAGCCCCGAUUGGGGCUUUUGCUUUCGGAUGUUUGGGUGGAAAAAAUAAAUGGUUACUGAGCAUUCGACUGAUGUUGGGUCAUUGAUUUUGUGAAUUUCUUGCAGAUUUUCACGUUCUUCCCUAGCAAUUGAUGAAUAUGGUUAUGAAUAUGGUUAUGUGUAUGAUAGGCAUGAUAUUAUGCAAAAGAAUUAGGUGCCGAAACAUUAUUAAACAUGAUUACAAUCUGUUCCUGCACAUUGAAUCUUAAUCUCUGUUCCUGCACUUUCCAUGAUAUUUAACACAGUUCAUAUACUUUAUGGGGCUGUUUGCUACCCAUUUAGCUUUGAUAACGUUUCUCUUGCUCUUAGAUUUCAAUUGUUUAUUUUUUGCAUUUAUCUUAGCCUAAACAUCUUUUCACAUCACAAUCGUGGCUUUGAAAAGGAAUCCUACCACGAAAGAGGCCGAACAACAUUCAAAUACCACAUUGAUUAUUUAACUUUUUCUACCUCUUCAUGAUGAAAGGGAUCACAUCAAAAGGUCCCUCCUCAUUAAAUUAUAAAAAGGGGGGCAUAAUUAUUAUUAAAGAUUAGAAGAUUAGGUAUUUAGGUCACAUUAGUGCUAAUUAUCUAGAAAAUGUGAAAAAGUAACAAGAAAAGUUCAUGUGGUUGGUAUCAUUCAAUAAAAGCAAGAUGCCAUGCAUGUACAUUACAUGGUUUUAGCUAUAUUCUGAUCACAUCGAUCUAUUUGGCCCUGUCCUUGAUGACAUCUAUCCCCAUCUCGGUUGGGUCGGUUGCUUGCAGUUCAUAGUGGAUGCCUUCCAGCACUCUCCUCAACCCAUCUUUGGAUGUUGCAUACAGCAUUUUUGCCCUUAUUCUUGAUGCUGUUGGGGACCUAAAAAAAAAAAAACCCAAAAUUGACACUUUUCAUUAACAAUAUGGUCUAAAUGUUAACAUUCUGUGUUUAUUUGUUUGGAUUCUGUGGAGAAGUGGGUUUGAAGUUUUCAUACUCUCUGACUUUGUGUUCAUGGAGCAGUGUUCAUGAAGUUAAUGGAGCAGUGUUCAUGCAGUUACUCUCUGACUUUUUCUGUUUGCUGACCUGAAGAAAAAUACUAAAAACAUAUCCCAUUUGAUUUUCGUGUGUGAAGAUAUGUGUGUAAAUAUGUGUGAAGAUAUGUGUGAAUUCAGGUGUGAAGAUAUGUAAAGUCACUGUGCAAGAGGAGAAAAAAGGGCCUUGGUAGAGUAAUCAAGCUGUUGGAAUUCAUAGAGUACUCUUGCACUUGGUGGCACAAAAUAAAGUCAUUACAAAUGAAAAGGUUAUGAGAAACAAUUUGCUCAACUUCAAAGACCUGGAUAAUUUGAAGCUUGCAGAGGGCUUGGCUAAAAUAUGUUUUGAGAUGCAUUUGUAGAAGUCACAAGCUUUUGUAAACUAGAUUAUUAAUUCAAGGAGGCAUUUCAUCUUGGGAGUGCUUUUGUUGAUACUCCCUUACGUGCUUACUUUCUUAGCUAGGCCCUUAAAAUCCUUGUGAGAUUUGAUUACACUUGCAAUUUUAUUGGAAGUGAUAUUGUAGAGUAAUUUGGGUGGUUUAGCCA
Long non-coding RNA from Carya illinoinensis, 1945 nucleotides. RefSeq lists it as uncharacterized. The transcript has 3 exons. NCBI's taxonomy places the organism in Eukaryota, Viridiplantae, Streptophyta, Magnoliopsida, Fagales, Juglandaceae. The record is from RefSeq and is a predicted model, not a curated record.